This 213-nucleotide ribosomal RNA is filed under the name uncultured bacterium. Its description in RNAcentral is "partial 16S ribosomal RNA". It matches the Rfam family "Bacterial small subunit ribosomal RNA", at positions 1288 to 1500 of the family's 1533-position model. The record is from RNAcentral.
UCAGUUCAGACUGCAGGCUGCAACUCGCCUGCACGAAGUCGGAAUUGCUAGUAAUCGCAGGUCAGCAUACUACGGUGAAUACGUUCCCGGGCCUUGUACACACCGCCCGUCAAACCAUGAGAGUUGGCAACACCCGAAGUCGGUAGUCUAACCGCAAGGAGGACGCCGCCGAAGGUGGGGUUGAUGAUUAGGGUUAAGUCGUAACAAGGUAUC